GACGAACGCUGGCGGCGUGCCUAAUACAUGCAAGUUGAGCGCUGAAGGUUGGUACUUGUACCGACUGGAUGAGCAGCGAACGGGUGAGUAACGCGUGGGGAAUCUGCCUUUGAGCGGGGGACAACAUUUGGAAACGAAUGCUAAUACCGCAUAAAAACUUUAAACACAAGUUUUAAGUUUGAAAGAUGCAAUUGCAUCACUCAAAGAUGAUCCCGCGUUGUAUUAGCUAGUUGGUGAGGUAAAGGCUCACCAAGGCGAUGAUACAUAGCCGACCUGAGAGGGUGAUCGGCACCAUUGGACCUGAGACACGGCCCAAACCCCUACGGGAGGCAGCAGUAGGAAAUCUUCGGCAAUGGACGAAAGUCUGACCGGGCAACGCCGCGUGAGUGAAGAGGGUUUUCGGAUCGUAAAACUCUGUUGGUAGAGAAGAACGUUGGUGAGAGUGGAAAGCUCAUCAAGUGACGGUAACUACCCAGAAAGGGACGGCUAACUACG
This 495-nucleotide ribosomal RNA is filed under the name uncultured bacterium. RNAcentral describes it as "partial 16S ribosomal RNA". It matches the Rfam family "Bacterial small subunit ribosomal RNA", at positions 28 to 505 of the family's 1533-position model. The record is from RNAcentral.